This is a non-coding RNA of Megalops atlanticus (tarpon), 78 nucleotides long. The record is from the annotation of a GenBank genome assembly. NCBI's taxonomy places the organism in Eukaryota, Metazoa, Chordata, Actinopteri, Elopiformes, Megalopidae.
AGCAGUGUGGUGUAGUGGUAAGGAGUUAGGCUCAUAACCAAAAGGUUGCUGCUUCGAUUCCCUGCUGGGCCACUGCUG